This is a non-coding RNA of Podarcis lilfordi (Lilford's wall lizard), 69 nucleotides long. NCBI's taxonomy places the organism in Eukaryota, Metazoa, Chordata, Lepidosauria, Squamata, Lacertidae. The record is from the annotation of a GenBank genome assembly.
GGAUAGUUCAGUCCAUAGAGCAAGAGGCUCUUAAACUUAGGGUCAUGGGUUCGAGUCCCAUGUUGGACA